Molecule: regulatory RNA element, 147 nt
Rfam family: speF leader
About the family: This family is a putative regulatory RNA structure that is found upstream of the speF gene encoding ornithine decarboxylase in Agrobacterium tumefaciens and other alpha-proteobacteria.
Source: Rfam
CGCCGGCUUUCCACAGGCCGGCACCGAAGAGGCUUGUCCUUCAUUGCCGGCCGUGCGGGGUCUUCCCCAAUCGAACGGUGUUUCGGGUCCGGACGGUUCGUCCGCUGUAGCAGGCGUCUCCACAGCGCCUCGCGAACGCGACGACUC